RNAcentral lists this ribosomal RNA (450 nucleotides) under uncultured bacterium. RNAcentral's name for it is "bacterial SSU rRNA". It matches the Rfam family "Bacterial small subunit ribosomal RNA", at positions 354 to 796 of the family's 1533-position model. The record is from RNAcentral.
GUAGGGAAUAUUGCGCAAUGGACGCAAGUCUGACGCAGCAACGCCGCGUGGGUGAUGAAGCUCCUUGGAGUGUAAAACCCUGUCAGUGGGGAAGAAACGUAUGAGUAGUAACUGACUCGUACCUGACGGUACCCACAGAGGAAGUCCCGGCUAACUCCGUGCCAGCAGCCGCGGUAAUACGGGGGGGACGAGCGUUGUUCGGAUUUACUGGGCGUAAAGGGCGCGUAGGCGGACCUUCAAGUCGGGUGUGAAACCUGUCGGCUUAACUGACAGCCUGCACUUGAUACUGUUGGCCUUGAGUACAGGAGAGGAGAGCGGAAUUCCUGGUGUAGCGGUGAAAUGCGUAGAUAUCAGGAAGAACACCGGUUGCGAAGGCGGCUCUCUGGACUGAUACUGACGCUUAAGCGCGAAGGCUUGGGGAGCAAACAGGAUUAGAAACCCUUGUAGUCC